This 468-nucleotide ribosomal RNA is filed under the name uncultured bacterium. RNAcentral describes it as "partial 16S ribosomal RNA". It matches the Rfam family "Bacterial small subunit ribosomal RNA", at positions 28 to 507 of the family's 1533-position model. The record is from RNAcentral.
GACGAACGCUGGCGGCGUGCUUAACACAUGCAAGUCGAACGGAAAGGCCCUGCUUUUGUGGGGUGCUCGAGUGGCGAACGGGUGAGUAACACGUGAGUAACCUGCCCUUGACUUUGGGAUAACUUCAGGAAACUGGGGCUAAUACCGGAUAGGAGCUCCUGCUGCAUGGGGGGGGUUGGAAAGUUUCGGCGGUUGGGGAUGGACUCGCGGCUUAUCAGCUUGUUGGUGGGGUAGUGGCUUACCAAGGCUUUGACGGGUAGCCGGCCUGAGAGGGUGACCGGCCACAUUGGGACUGAGAUACGGCCCAGACUCCUACGGGAGGCAGCAGUGGGGAAUAUUGAACAAUGGGCGGAAGCCUGAUGCAGCAACGCCGCGUGCGGGAUGACGGCCUUCGGGUUGUAAACCGCUUUCGCCUGUGACGAAGCGUGAGUGACGGUAAUGGGUAAAGAAGCACCGGCUAACUACGUG